GUGUGAAAUUUGCUAAUUAGAAUUAUCCAUACAUUUAUAUAUGCUAAAAGCCAAUGCAACACAUGACAGUUGACCACCAACUAAACAAAAAGUAGUUGAUACAAUUUGAUACGUGAUCUUGAAGUCAAAGUUUAAAAGAAAAGACUGAAUAAAUAGAUAUUUGGAAAUGUCAUCAGAGUGCAGUCUUCAUUGUAACCACUUACAACCCCAACCC
Molecule: long non-coding RNA, 214 nt
Filed under: Elaeis guineensis (African oil palm)
Lineage: Eukaryota; Viridiplantae; Streptophyta; Magnoliopsida; Arecales; Arecaceae
Description: long non-coding RNA (EGUI_LNC079327)
Source: RNAcentral